This is a long non-coding RNA of Homo sapiens (human), 467 nucleotides long. Ensembl annotates it as long intergenic non-protein coding RNA 927. The record is from Ensembl. Lineage: Eukaryota; Metazoa; Chordata; Mammalia; Primates; Hominidae.
UUCUCAGAGGGUGAGGGUCCCACAUCUCCUGCAGGACAGGCCCUAGCUACUGAGUCACAGAAACCCAGGGCCGAAGCAAAGUCCCAAUCCCAGAGAGGCUGGGGCACACCUACAACUGAAAGGAGGCUUAGAAAUCCUUCAGAGACCACCCUAUCGGUUCUCCUCCACCUGGACAGGAUGAGCCAGCAACACAGAAGGAAGAGGCCUUCCUCCGAAAGAAAAAGCACAAGAAAGAUGGACACAUGGCAGAGUCUUAAAGUCAAAGAAGUAUUCUGUAAGCAUAAUUCUUCCUAUGAAUGCCUUCUCUAUAAAGAGGUUGAAGCAAGGUAUAGAGGCCAGAAGAGGUCAUUGUCUCCAAAUAGCAAGCAAGACCUCUCCGAGGCUAACUUUGUGCAGUCUGUAGGUGUAUUCAUGCCGUGGCUCAAAUCUUUAAAUCCAACUUUAAAGAUAUUUUUAUCCUUAUUCAA